ACGGAAGUGGCGGAAUAGGUAGACGCACCAGAUUUAGGUUCUGGCUAUUUUUAAAUAGUAUACGAGUUCAAGUCUCGUCUUCCGUA
Molecule: transfer RNA, 86 nt
Filed under: Enterobacteriaceae endosymbiont of Macroplea appendiculata
Lineage: Bacteria; Pseudomonadati; Pseudomonadota; Gammaproteobacteria; Enterobacterales; Enterobacteriaceae
Rfam family: tRNA
About the family: Transfer RNA (tRNA) molecules are approximately 80 nucleotides in length.
Source: Rfam by way of RNAcentral